ACUGAAUAGAUACCCGGGUAGUCCACGCCGUAAACGAUGAUCACUUGGUGUUGCAGGUAUUGACCCCUGCAGUGCCGAAAGCUAACGCGUUAAGUGAUCCGCCUGGGAAGUACGGUCGCAAGAUUAAAACUCAAAGAAAAUUGACGGGGGCCCGGCACAAGCGGUGGAGCAUGUGGUUCAAUUCGAUGCAACGCGAAAAACCUUAACCUGGGUUUGUAAGUGCUAGUGAAUGCUGUAGAGAUAUGGCAGGCCUUCGGGUACGACUAGUAUCAGGUGCUGCAUGGCGUGUCGUCAGCUCGUGUCGUGGGAGUGUCGGGUUUAA
This 322-nucleotide ribosomal RNA is filed under the name uncultured bacterium. RNAcentral describes it as "bacterial SSU rRNA". It matches the Rfam family "Bacterial small subunit ribosomal RNA", at positions 772 to 1084 of the family's 1533-position model. The record is from RNAcentral.